GGGUUUGUAGCUUAGUGGUAAAGCGCUUGUCUCACACACAUGAAGCACUGGGUUUGAUCCUCAGCACCA
RNAcentral lists this transfer RNA (69 nucleotides) under Ictidomys tridecemlineatus (thirteen-lined ground squirrel). RNAcentral describes it as "Spermophilus tridecemlineatus (thirteen-lined ground squirrel) tRNA". It matches the Rfam family "tRNA". Rfam says of the family: Transfer RNA (tRNA) molecules are approximately 80 nucleotides in length. Their secondary structure includes four short double-helical elements and three loops (D, anti-codon, and T loops). The record is from Rfam by way of RNAcentral. Lineage: Eukaryota; Metazoa; Chordata; Mammalia; Rodentia; Sciuridae.